CGCUUCCUUCCCGGCGCGUCUGGCAGGCGGCCCGCGGGCAGCUGUGGGCGGGAGCUCGGCCCUCUGGGUCCGCCCGCGCCCGGGAGCCGGCGGCCAGGGGACCCGCUGCCAAGGAGGGGGCGGCGGCGGGGCCUGGAACGCGCGGCCCGGCCUGGCUGAGGAACCAAGCAAGCUCCGACAGGCCCUGGUACAGUGCCUCCAGGGACUUAAAUCUGGCUCAGCCACGUGGUUACCCUGAUCCAUCUGCUGGGAGAUGAGCAAAGGUCAGAGAGAGGGACCAAACCUGCAGCAGUUCCUGAACGCCCAGCCCCCAGCUCUUCCAGAGGUGCAACAAGGACCAACCUGUGAGCAUUUGUUCUUCCUCAGGCUUCUGAAGAAAAACUUUUUGAGAAGGUGCUCCAAGGACAGCAGGGGUGAAGGCUCAGAGCUCAGGAAGCUAACAGGCACCAAACCCCAAAGGAUGCAAAAUUUGAGGCUAAAGAGGAUGUUGGAAUAAUUUAACUGAAUGAACCCAAAAUGCCUAAAGGAAAUCCCUAAAGCAAGAUAAUCAUGCUGAGGACAAAGCAAUGACCUUAAGAUAAGCAGCUAUUUACUUUUCACUGCAGACAGGUUAAGAAGAUAAGCAUUCAUUAAGCAACUUUAUGGUAUAGUAUAGAGUUGGACAACCUUACACUCAACUCACAUCCAUGUAAAAUCCUAGAGGAGACAAAGUAACAGAGACAGCUAAGAACCUAAUCCUGUUAUAGGAUUCCACCUGUAAAUUGGUUUGGAAGUACAGCUAGCCAAAUGGUUUUGUUUGGUAGAUUUCCAUCAAGUCCCCAAAUCUGGAAACACUCCUUGGAAGUUAGUCUUGGCCUCUUAUCACUUUGAAUUGUGACUAAUGUUAAA
Molecule: non-coding RNA, 888 nt
Organism: Sus scrofa (pig)
Lineage: Eukaryota; Metazoa; Chordata; Mammalia; Artiodactyla; Suidae
Source: RefSeq, a predicted model, not a curated record